GAGCUUUUAAUUCAAGACUCGAUCGCUGUCGUCACAGCCUCGACUCCCUUCCCCACCAAUUCUUUCACUUACUUUGAACGAAGUGGCCGGGGAUCGUUGUGGAAUUGGUCAAGGCAAGCUUCGUAUGCUUCGGAUUCGUUUCUUUUGGCGGAUUUUUUGGGUGUUCUUAGGGUUGUAGGUCGACUCUUUGUUUCGAUCUCUUCGUAUGUAUUUCUUUCUCCGGUUUCUUGGUGACUCAGGACGCGUCUUUCUUGCGAAUAGAUUGAUUCUUGGGUAAUCAUUUAUGGCGGAUGUGUGGAGCCUUCGAUUGGGCGGGUUAGGGUUUUGGGAAGGAUUACAUAAUCAUUUAAGAAUUAUUUCUCGGCGAAUUUGGCCUCAUGAGAAUUGUUAGGGGAAUGCGAAAAUUGGUCUGCGGUGAGGAAGGCGUGCUGGAGAAUAAGGCAUCGAUCGGCUGGGGAAAUGCUGUCACUUCUUCCAUGGUCAUAAAUCGAGAUAAAGGAUGCUUCAGGCUCUGAACCUUUGAAUGGAAACAAGAAGGACUGUCAUCCUGAUUCGAUUGCAAGGGAGGAGUAGGCGGAGGUUAUCGUCUCUAGGAGAUUGAAGGUUCUUCUCUGUGUUCUUUAUUUAAUGGUUUUAUUCAUUUAAAUGAUAUUGUAUUCCAUUGUUGAUAUAUAUAAUGUUUAGAUUAUGAAGUCGCUUUGAUUUGUGAAAAUAAUUUAUGGUUUCAUGAUGUAAAAAAUUGUAGGAAUUUUUUUUAGUCGAUAAAAUUGUGAGAUUUUAUGUUGCUUAAUGAAUUUUAUUUUCAGGAGAUGCCUACUCAACAUGAUUGUUGAAAUAUUUAUUUAUUUCUUUAUUUUUUAAGAUUGAAAAAUUCAAAAGAUCAAGUUUGGAAUUGACUGGAGAUACCUGCUGUAUGCUUGUGAAUUUCCACUGUUUGUAAUUUUAUAGGGUUGCUAUUCUAGAAGGUCCUCAAUAAGUCUGUUGCAUUUUAUAUAAGCUUACUUGAGUCUUUCUUAUAAGCUGAUUUGGAAUUGUAGCGAUAGUUGCAGGUGCAUUUUUCAAUAAGCUUCUAGUUGCUCUGGGAUUGUAGCAGAUGUUGCAGGGUGUUGUUCAAUAAUCUUCUAGGUCUUCUCAGAGAGUUAAUACUUUACUUUUUUAAAAAUUUAGGGAUAAUGAAACGUUUAUCCUUUGUAAGUAAUAGAAGCCACCAUUUGAUAUUCUGUUUCAUUAUUAUUGAUUACUUGUGCUUUCUCUAUUUCAUGUAUCGCUUUCUUUACAUGCUUAUUUACUGUCUGUUACACAUUUCCCCCUUUAUUUUAGUGAAUGAAGCUGUUCUCCAGUUCACAAGUCUAAGUUUCUAUGUAGUUCGAAAAGUGAGCCUUCAGUGGAUGGGUAUGGCAUUUCAUCUAAAGGAGAUCUUUUCAUUAUUUUGUUACUGCUUUUUUCCAUAUAACUUUCUGGGAUAAUUUGAUGCCCUUUGAAUGACAUGAUUGCUGAUGCUGAUGGUUCCUCUAAAUAAUAGAUGAAACACUGUUUCCUGUGCAUCAAUAUAUUUCUUUGAUGUCAUUUCACAACUCAUUAGAUACAUCACUUUUUUAGGUGGUUCCUAUUGUUGUCUGUUUUCUAGGAUUCCUUUCCGUGGAUAUUCCUGACUUUUAUCUUUGCUUCUCUUCUAUUGAUGUCUUUUCUUGAUAUGAAUUUCUUCUUUUCAUCCUCCAAUGUCGAUUGCCUGCUUUUCCAACUUUUAGGUGCUCAUCCAGGUUCUUAGAUCCAUUAAACAGUUUGAUGAUCCUUGGAAGGAAGGUACUGGAUUAUCAACUAAUUCCAAGUUGGAAUUCUGUGAAGGACUUUUGCCAUGCUGUAGUGAUAUAUAGAACAGGCAAACAUUUUCACCUUUUGAGUGUUGUAUGUUGAGUAUUUGCAAUCUGUUAACCUACCAAAACUACAGUUUUCAUGUCUUAUGACAAUAGAGAGCUGGAUACUUGUUUUAACAUUUAUUAUAGUGUCAUGUAUCUGUUUGGAAAUUUGGUAAAGUGGUUCUUCUUUCAGUAUUAUGACUUGAGGCCCCUAAAUCAUGAUUUAAAUUGUUGGUCAGAGGACCGAUGUUUACCUAUUGAUAUUAAUCACUGGUACAGAAGCAUAGAACUCAGUAUAUCUGAAUCAUUUAUAUUUAUUAUAUUGUUUUUUUCCGGUGACAUGCAUGGCACAGGUCGCUCUUGGUAUCUUGUUACUGUACCUCUCUGAUAUUUUUUUUGAAACCAGUAUUGAACUGCUAUCGAAAACCAUACCCUAAAUAAUUGCAUGAUGACAGACACUUCAUGGGUAGAAUAUUUAGCUAAGGAGAAACCGAAGCAGUAUCCUUUGUUUACAGAGUCUUACGCAUGCAGGGCAGAACCACAAUCUUCUGUGGCAAGUGAUGAGUCCCUUCUGUAUCUUAUUUCGUAGAACUCUGAAGUUGACUGCAUACAUGGAGAAAGGCCAAUGAUUUCUUAACAGCGAUGCCAUCAUCAUGGUCGUGAUACUGAGAUGGUGCUCAACAGCGGUGCGCAGACGGUUUUGUUUAUGAGUUUUGGCUACAUGCAGGUCAUGGAAGCAUAUAGCAUUUUUUGGUGAUGAUGUGGAUUCUACGAUCUGCUACCUGUUGGAGAUGGAAGGCAGCUAAGCUGUGCAUCUCCUGGUGGCAGAAACCGACACAAAGGGAGAGCAGUAGCAGAGUGAGUAUUGGAGGGAUUAGGAGGAAUUGGAAUUGCUGUGAGUGCAGGCAUUCCCUUAAGUCUAUCGACUGUUGGCAGAUCAGUGAAGAGAGCGAAACGAAGCUUUGCUUGAAUAUAUUAAUAUGUUCCCUCUCCUAUUUAUACAUAUUAGGAGGAAGGAUUUUCCUUAACAGAAUAAACAGAAUAGAGAGAUUUCCUGGGAAAAUCUUAUCUUC
Long non-coding RNA from Musa acuminata AAA Group (dessert banana), 2929 nucleotides. RefSeq lists it as uncharacterized. The transcript is spliced from 2 exons. The record is from RefSeq and is a predicted model, not a curated record. Lineage: Eukaryota; Viridiplantae; Streptophyta; Magnoliopsida; Zingiberales; Musaceae.